GGAUUAGAUACCCUGGUAGUCCACGCCGUAAACGAUGUCAACUAGCCGUUGGAAUCCUUGAGAUUUUAGUGGCGCAGCUAACGCAUUAAGUUGACCGCCUGGGGAGUACGGCCGCAAGGUUAAAACUCAAAUGAAUUGACGGGGGCCCGCACAAGCGGUGGAGCAUGUGGUUUAAUUCGAAGCAACGCGAAGAACCUUACCAGGCCUUGACAUGCAGAGAACUUUCCAGAGAUGGAUUGGUGCCUUCGGGAACUCUGACACAGGUGCUGCAUGGCUGUCGUCAGCUCGUGCC
This 292-nucleotide ribosomal RNA is filed under the name uncultured bacterium. RNAcentral describes it as "partial 16S ribosomal RNA". It matches the Rfam family "Bacterial small subunit ribosomal RNA", at positions 775 to 1066 of the family's 1533-position model. The record is from RNAcentral.